Molecule: transfer RNA, 85 nt
Filed under: Felis catus (domestic cat)
Lineage: Eukaryota; Metazoa; Chordata; Mammalia; Carnivora; Felidae
Rfam family: tRNA
About the family: Transfer RNA (tRNA) molecules are approximately 80 nucleotides in length. Their secondary structure includes four short double-helical elements and three loops (D, anti-codon, and T loops).
Source: Rfam by way of RNAcentral
GCCUGGGUGGCUCAGUCGGUUAAGUGUCCGACUUCGGCUCAGAUCAUGAUCUUGUGGUUCGUGGGUUCAAGCCCCGCAUCGGGCU